AGACGUAGGGGGCGAGCGUUGUCCGGAAUUACUGGGCGUAAAGAGCACGUAGGCGGGGAUUUAAGUCAGAUGUGAAAGACCGGGGCUCAACUCCGGGGUGGCAUUUGAAACUAAAUUUCUUGAGGGCAGGAGAGGGCAGUAGAAUUCCUGGUGUAGCGGUGAAAUGCGUAGAAAUCAGGAGGAAUACCGGUGGCGAAGGCGACUGUCUGGACUGACCCUGACGCUGAGGUGCGAAAGCGUGGGUAGCAAACAGGAUUAGAUACCCUGGUAGUCCACGCUGUAAACGAUGGAUACUAGGUGUAGGAGGUAUCGACCCCUUCUGUGCCGCAGCAAACGCAAUAAGUAUCCCGCCUGGGGAGUACGGUCGCAAGGCUGAA
This 377-nucleotide ribosomal RNA is filed under the name uncultured bacterium. RNAcentral's name for it is "bacterial SSU rRNA". It matches the Rfam family "Bacterial small subunit ribosomal RNA", at positions 523 to 898 of the family's 1533-position model. The record is from RNAcentral.